RNA transcript from Magnolia sinica, 1370 nucleotides. RefSeq lists it as uncharacterized. The record is from RefSeq and is a predicted model, not a curated record. The transcript has 3 exons. Lineage: Eukaryota; Viridiplantae; Streptophyta; Magnoliopsida; Magnoliales; Magnoliaceae.
AAAGCUCAUAUUGGAAUGCAUUGUUCAAAUACUCACCCUUUUCAUUUUCUAGAAUUGAUUAUGUCAGUGUUUUGUUUAAAUUAAGGUGUUUGAAUGUGCCACAGUUCCGGGUAUGGAUUUUAUUUUAAAUUUCUUCCCGACUUUCAUUCAAAAGAAAGCCAAGUCACAUCUAAAUGGAAUCACAGGUUCGUAUGUUGGAGUUCUAAAUCAUGAUCGACUGGCUCUUUUCUCCAUCUAACAUUACCAUUGUUUGAACAUCGGUUAUGUUACGAUUGUAUUUGUAGAACUAUUGUCUACCCCUGUAACAUGAUAUAGGGUUGAGGUGGUCCAUUUCCCAAAAAAAGGGUUGUAUUGGCCCGUAUUGGUGUUGAUGUGAGGGCUAUAGAAGCUGGCUGAUACAACCAUAAAGUCCACUUUCCCAGUUACAACUCAUGUGAUGUCAAAGAUGAAAGGGAGGGGGAUUCAAAAGGAACCUGGUUGUAGUUCAAUCGAAGUGAACAUUGAGAUCCUAAAAUAUUUAAAUCUUACUUAAUAUUUCUCACCAGUGCAAUUGUUUUUGUUGCAGAAUACCUUGGAUCACUGCUUAGAGUUGACCAAUGGGCUGUAUGUAUUUACUGUAGUUGGAUGAACUUGUGUAAUCAGCGGAUACAUGUCGAUUGGAUCGUUCCUCAGCCUCAAUUUGAGUCACAUACACAAAUUCAGUCUGCCCAACAAGUUUCUCAAACCUAGCAGGUUAAGACUCAGCUCAGGCAGCAACAGCUGAUACAACUCCAACAACAGUCUUUUAUCUUCAUCGGUCGGUAACUUAUUACACAUUCUUGUAUAUGUCAAAGGUUGCUAUUGUUCAUUGUGUAACUCUUGCAAAUUGGUCACCAUGCAUCAAAGGAAGGCAGAGAUAUCCCGCCAUUCCAACGCUUUCAUCGCAUUACCAGGCACCAUCAUAAUGGCAGAUGGGAAGCAAGGAUAGGAACUUGACAAUGGCAGAUGACAAGCUAAAGAAGUCAUUGGAGGAUGAAAUUCAUUUUCUCAAGGGAAGGGUUUUAGAACUUGAAAGUGAUCUUGUGUCAAAGUCCACAAAAGUUACAUCUGCAGUUUCAGGGAAAAAAGAAGCUCUAUCUUCUGCAUUUACUGAAAUUGAUCGUCUGAAGGAAGAAAAUUCUGUAAAAACGUGAGCAUUAUUGCAUUAUAUGGAGGGUGUUUACUGUGUUGGAGUGUAUUUGUUUCUUGCACAUGAGGGCACGCCUUAGUUGUAAUUCUUAUGAUAGGUUGAGCAAAGUGAAGUAUUGUUUAUUUAGAAAUGUGAAUGUGGGAUGCAUUGUAUGAUUUGAUUGCUAUUUGUAAUAAAUGCAUAGUUUUUUUUCCUGAUUGCA